UAAACGAUGGAUACUAGCUGUUCCGGCCUUGAGUCCUGGGCGGCCAAGCGAAAGUGAUAAGUAUCCCACCUGGGGAGUACGUUCGCAAGAAUGAAACUCAAAGGAAUUGACGGGGGCCCGCACAAGCGGUGGAGCAUGUGGUUUAAUUCGAUGAUACGCGAGGAACCUUACCAGGGCUUAAAUGCAUAUUGACAGGGGUAGAGAUACCUUUUCCUUCGGGCAAUUUGCAAGGUGCUGCAUGGUUGUCGUCAGCUCGUGCCGUGAGGUGUCAGGUUAAGUCCUAUAACGAGCGCAACCCCUACCGUUAGUUGCCAGCAUUUAAAGAUGGGGACUCUAACGGGACUGCCGGUGCAAACCGUGAGGAAGGUGGGGACGACGUCAAAUCAUCACGGCCCUUACGUCCUGGGCCACACACGUGCUACAAUGGCCGGUACAGAGAGCAGCCACGAUGCAAGUCGGGAGCGAAUCUACAAAACCGGUCACAGUUCGGAUCGGGGUCUGCAACUCGACCCCGUGAAGCUGGAAUCGCUAGUAAUCGGAUAUCAGCCAUGAUCCGGUGAAUACGUUCCCGGGCCUUGUACACACCGCCCGUCAAGCCAUGGAAGCCGGGAGUGCCUGAAGUCCGUCACCGUAAGGAGCGGCCUAGGGCAAGAUCGGUAACUAGGGCUAAGUCGUAACAAGGUAACCGUA
Molecule: ribosomal RNA, 690 nt
Filed under: uncultured Bacteroidota bacterium
Lineage: Bacteria; Pseudomonadati; Bacteroidota
Description: bacterial SSU rRNA
Rfam family: Bacterial small subunit ribosomal RNA
Source: RNAcentral